AGCGUACACGGUGGAUGCCCUGGCAGUCAGAGGCGAUGAAGGACGUGCUAAUCUGCGAUAAGCGUCGGUGAGGUGAUAUGAACCGUUAUAACCGGCGAUUUCCGAAUGGGGAAACCCAGUGUGUUUCGACACACUAUCAUUAACUGAAUCCAUAGGUUAAUGAGGCGAACCGGGGGAACUGAAACAUCUAAGUACCCCGAGGAAAAGAAAUCAACCGAGAUUCCCCCAGUAGCGGCGAGCGAACGGGGAGGAGCCCAGAGCCUGAAUCAGUGUGUGUGUUAGUGGAAGCGUCUGGAAAGGCGCGCGAUACAGGGUGACAGCCCCGUACACAAAAAUGCACAUAUUGUGAGCUCGAUGAGUAGGGCGGGACACGUGGUAUCCUGUCUGAAUAUGGGGGGACCAUCCUCCAAGGCUAAAUACUCCUGACUGACCGAUAGUGAACCAGUACCGUGAGGGAAAGGCGAAAAGAACCCCGGCGAGGGGAGUGAAAAAGAACCUGAAACCGUGUACGUACAAGCAGUGGGAGCCUCUUUAUGGGGUGACUGCGUACCUUUUGUAUAAUGGGUCAGCGACUUAUAUUCUGUAGCAAGGUUAACCGAAUAGGGGAGCCGAAGGGAAACCGAGUCUUAACUGGGCGUUAAGUUGCAGGGUAUAGACCCGAAACCCGGUGAUCUAGCCAUGGGCAGGUUGAAGGUUGGGUAACACUAACUGGAGGACCGAACCGACUAAUGUUGAAAAAUUAGCGGAUGACUUGUGGCUGGGGGUGAAAGGCCAAUCAAACCGGGAGAUAGCUGGUUCUCCCCGAAAGCUAUUUAGGUAGCGCCUCGUGAAUUCAUCUCCGGGGGUAGAGCACUGUUUCGGCAAGGGGGUCAUCCCGACUUACCAACCCGAUGCAAACUGCGAAUACCGGAGAAUGUUAUCACGGGAGACACACGGCGGGUGCUAACGUCCGUCGUGAAGAGGGAAACAACCCAGACCGCCAGCUAAGGUCCCAAAGUCAUGGUUAAGUGGGAAACGAUGUGGGAAGGCCCAGACAGCCAGGAUGUUGGCUUAGAAGCAGCCAUCAUUUAAAGAAAGCGUAAUAGCUCACUGGUCGAGUCGGCCUGCGCGGAAGAUGUAACGGGGCUAAACCAUGCACCGAAGCUGCGGCAGCGACACUAUGUGUUGUUGGGUAGGGGAGCGUUCUGUAAGCCUGUGAAGGUGGCCUGUGAGGGUUGCUGGAGGUAUCAGAAGUGCGAAUGCUGACAUAAGUAACGAUAAAGCGGGUGAAAAGCCCGCUCGCCGGAAGACCAAGGGUUCCUGUCCAACGUUAAUCGGGGCAGGGUGAGUCGACCCCUAAGGCGAGGCCGAAAGGCGUAGUCGAUGGGAAACAGGUUAAUAUUCCUGUACUUGGUGUUACUGCGAAGGGGGGACGGAGAAGGCUAUGUUGGCCGGGCGACGGUUGUCCCGGUUUAAGCGUGUAGGCUGGUUUUCCAGGCAAAUCCGGAAAACCAAGGCUGAGGCGUGAUGACGAGGCACUACGGUGCUGAAGCGACAAAUGCCCUGCUUCCAGGAAAAGCCUCUAAGCAUCAGGUAACAUCAAAUCGUACCCCAAACCGACACAGGUGGUCAGGUAGAGAAUACCAAGGCGCUUGAGAGAACUCGGGUGAAGGAACUAGGCAAAAUGGUGCCGUAACUUCGGGAGAAGGCACGCUGAUAUGUAGGUGAAGCGACUUGCUCGUGGAGCUGAAAUCAGUCGAAGAUACCAGCUGGCUGCAACUGUUUAUUAAAAACACAGCACUGUGCAAACACGAAAGUGGACGUAUACGGUGUGACGCCUGCCCGGUGCCGGAAGGUUAAUUGAUGGGGUUAGCGGUAACGCGAAGCUCUUGAUCGAAGCCCCGGUAAACGGCGGCCGUAACUAUAACGGUCCUAAGGUAGCGAAAUUCCUUGUCGGGUAAGUUCCGACCUGCACGAAUGGCGUAAUGAUGGCCAGGCUGUCUCCACCCGAGACUCAGUGAAAUUGAACUCGCUGUGAAGAUGCAGUGUACCCGCGGCAAGACGGAAAGACCCCGUGAACCUUUACUAUAGCUUGACACUGAACAUUGAGCCUUGAUGUGUAGGAUAGGUGGGAGGCUUUGAAGUGUGGACGCCAGUCUGCAUGGAGCCGACCUUGAAAUACCACCCUUUAAUGUUUGAUGUUCUAACGUUGGCCCGUAAUCCGGGUUGCGGACAGUGUCUGGUGGGUAGUUUGACUGGGGCGGUCUCCUCCUAAAGAGUAACGGAGGAGCACGAAGGUUGGCUAAUCCUGGUCGGACAUCAGGAGGUUAGUGCAAUGGCAUAAGCCAGCUUGACUGCGAGCGUGACGGCGCGAGCAGGUGCGAAAGCAGGUCAUAGUGAUCCGGUGGUUCUGAAUGGAAGGGCCAUCGCUCAACGGAUAAAAGGUACUCCGGGGAUAACAGGCUGAUACCGCCCAAGAGUUCAUAUCGACGGCGGUGUUUGGCACCUCGAUGUCGGCUCAUCACAUCCUGGGGCUGAAGUAGGUCCCAAGG
This 2531-nucleotide ribosomal RNA is filed under the name human gut metagenome. Its description in RNAcentral is "bacterial LSU rRNA". It matches the Rfam family "Bacterial large subunit ribosomal RNA", at positions 14 to 2570 of the family's 2925-position model. The record is from RNAcentral.